UGACAUAGCUCAGUCAGUAAAGCAUAAGACUCUCAUUCUCAAGGUCAUGGAUUCGAGUCCCACAUUGGCCCAA
Non-coding RNA from Podarcis lilfordi (Lilford's wall lizard), 73 nucleotides. Lineage: Eukaryota; Metazoa; Chordata; Lepidosauria; Squamata; Lacertidae. The record is from the annotation of a GenBank genome assembly.